UAUAAGUAAAAUCAUUUGUUGCAUAUAUACCGUUGCGAGAUUUCCAAAACCGACCUACAGAGACAAUAGUUCAAUAUUAUCAGAAUCUCAUAUUCAAAUAAGCAAGAAUAACUUUUCCUUUUUAUUUGCCUACUGGUAUCCAUAGGGGUCCAUAGAGAUGUCCCACUACACAUGAAUCAACAUCCAACCUUGUCAACUAAACGACCGUCCCCAUAUCUCAUCAGGUAUGAGUGCCAAAAAUAUCAUCUCUCAAUACUUCAUUUAGUAUGAUGGUGAAACAGCCUGUCCCCAUACCACGUCCG
RNAcentral lists this long non-coding RNA (302 nucleotides) under Carica papaya (papaya). RNAcentral's name for it is "long non-coding RNA (CPAP_LNC007170)". Lineage: Eukaryota; Viridiplantae; Streptophyta; Magnoliopsida; Brassicales; Caricaceae. The record is from RNAcentral.